This 465-nucleotide ribosomal RNA is filed under the name uncultured bacterium. RNAcentral describes it as "partial 16S ribosomal RNA". It matches the Rfam family "Bacterial small subunit ribosomal RNA", at positions 28 to 507 of the family's 1533-position model. The record is from RNAcentral.
GACGAACGCUGGCGGCGUGCUUAACACAUGCAAGUCGAACGGAAAGGCCCUGCUUGCAGGGUACUCGAGUGGCGAACGGGUGAGUAACACGUGGGUGAUCUGCCCUGCACUUCGGGAUAAGCCUGGGAAACUGGGUCUAAUACCGGAUAGGAGCCAUUUUUAGUGUGAUGGUUGGAAAGUUUUUUCGGUGUAGGAUGAGCUCGCGGCCUAUCAGCUUGUUGGUGGGGUAAUGGCCUACCAAGGCGGCGACGGGUAGCCGGCCUGAGAGGGUGGACGGCCACAUUGGGACUGAGAUGCGGCCCCGGCUCCUACGGGAGGCAGCAGUGGGGAAUAUUGCACAAUGGGCGCCAGCCUGAUGCAGCGGCGCCGCGGGGGGGAUGACGGCCUUCGGGUUGUAAACUCCUUUCGCUAGGGACGAAGCUUUUUGUGACGGUACCUAGAUAAGAAGCACCGGCUAACUACGUG